GUUCUGUUGCCUUAGCUUAGUAAAUUUUCAUGGAGAGCUUUAAGUUUUUCUUUUUGCAUGUUAUCCUCAUGGUUGUACUCUCCAGGGGGCUUGUUCCUUCGGUAAUUAUCUUUAAUGACGGUAUUUCCAUAUUGACGCGAGGUGGGUGGGGUGUUGAAGAGAGAGGGAGACUCGAGACGGUGCAUUGACUCUGGAUUACAUUAGAGGGGUUAGAUGGAUGAGUGUUAGUUACAUCCCAAUCAGAACAUUUGCACCACUAGGUUUCACCAAAUGCCAAUCAUACUGGACUGAGCUCCUCUGCUCCUCUCCCUGAAACAUUAACAAAAAGUCAUUAACAAAAAGCCUUCCUGUUCUGAAGGCAAAUAUCUAUCUAUCUAUCUCAUCAGUCUUAGGGCUGGAAGAGAUGCAGCUCUGGGCUGGCUCUGAUGCGGACUUGUCACAAAGGCUUGGACAGCUGUUUCCAGCCACUGCUAUGAACCCAUCUAAGUGAAAUUGUGAGGACUAAGGAGAGAGGCACCCAUGACUGCCUUAAUCCACUCCUACCCAUCGUCUCUUCACCCAUCCACCCAUCCUUGCUGCAGACCUUUACUGGGCACCUGUGCCAGGAGACCAUCACUGCCCAUCAGAAGCUCAUACAGGGAGAAGCAGUGGCCACAGCAGAAGGCGUCCCGGGUCCUAGAGAGCACCUGGAGAACAAGGGAGAGCUGCAGAAACCGCCCUGUCUGCAUGUGUGCCCUCAUGUUCUUGGGUGCAUGUCUGUGUUUGUGUGUGUGUUUGCUUAUGUGCAUGUGCAGUGUGUGUGUGUUCGAGACAGAGCGAGACUGAGAGUGCAAGUGGGUGUAAGCACACACACCCACCCGUCAGCCCUGCCUGUCUGCUCAGAGUUUUGCCUGUCACCCGGCCACGCCCUGUGACCCCCCUCCUCGGCUGGGUGCAGCCAGGACACCUGUUGCCAGCUGCGAGCACCUGCCUGGUUGCUGCGCCCGUGUCCUGUGCAUGUUCCAAGCCAGCCCCCUGGGGUAAUCCAGGCCAUGACUCAGGAACGUCAUGUUGGGACACCCGAGACCCCCAGCCCCUGCCCUAGGGGUCAGGGCAGCAGGUCCCAUCUCCCUUAGCUGGGCUGGGCCCAGGCAGCCUGUAUCACUGUUUGCUCCAGAGGCUGGGUGCGUCCUGCUUGGGGGCUGUGUGAGGCCCGCUUGUUUUCACCCACAGAUUCCCAGGGUUCUCAAGGCAGAGGAAAGCGACAAUUAGGGCAACACCCAUGUUGGUUGGAUCAGAGUGAAUCCCAGGCCUGCUUGGGAGGCUUUAGGCACUCAGCUCGGCCAUCUCUGAGGGUAAGGGCAUGUCAGCCACUCUGCUGGGGCAUCUCUGUGCUCAGCACCAUGUGGGCUCAUCACAGACACAAGAGUGCGUCCUCUCAGAGGGAAUGGUCUGGCAGGUUUUGCCUGUUUUCCUGCUCACAGGUUGAAUUUCUUGGCCAGCAUCCCAUAGCCAGGCCAGAGCGGAGCAGGGCUGCCUGCUGCACCCAGUGGCUUCUUGUCAAUCUCGGCCUCUCGUUCCCUGCCUGGGAGAGGGUCUCAGUGUGAAGGGCAGAGGGGUCUUCUGGAACCAGCCAGUGCUGUGUCGGAGAGAAAGACCAGGAGGAAAUUGGAGGGGUACAGGCCUGAAACUCUCCCGCUGCCUUGCCAGGCACCCAAACCUGCUUGACCUGAGUGUCUUUCCGGCGGCGGGUGGGGGGGAGGGGGGUGGGGCGUGCUGCAUCGCUUACUUUGCCUGUGUCUUAGGGGAGCCUACCCAUUGCCCUCCAGCACCGGCGAACAAAGACCCCCACGGUGGCCAGGCCUGUGCGGGGUGUAAACAGUGUCCCAGGGUGUCUUGGUGUCCUCACUACUACAUCCUCCACGUUCCAGAGGAGAAACUGAGGCCCGAGGACACCCAGAAUUUCCCAGGGUCACACCAAGGGGAAACAGGUGACGUUGAAGUGGACACAGGGUGAUGAGAGGGGUGCAGAAAAGGAGAUACCCUGGCAUGCCAAGCCUGGGGCUGGUUGUCCACAUCCAGGAAGGUCCCUGCAAGGUUGUGGCACCUUUUCAUGGCAAGCAGACGCAGCACCAUGAAUACCCACAGCCACUCCUAAGGGCCCCUUCAUGCGGUGGCUGUGCCCAGCACUGGGCACGCAGGAACCAAGGCCCAGAGAGUUCUGGGUGGGUGGGGAGAGCUAGAGCCUUCCUUCUGGGCUCCAGGGCUUUUCAGUAGCACCACUGGCUUUCUAGAAGGUUGCUGUGUGAUUGGAAACUUGUGCUUUGAGAUACGAUUAUCUGUGUGGGGAGGAGGUUGUACUGGAGUCAGCAGUGAGGGGUGGCAGCACUAGGCCAGAAAUGGAUGUGGGGUCCUCUUGCGUGGAGCUGCCACUCCCCCAGCCACUCUGUCCUUACAACCAAAACCCCAAAAGGGGGCUGAGCCGGCCCUUGUGAGUGAGAGUAGAGGAGAAGGAAGGGGCUGUGGGGGGAGAGAAGCACAUGGAGCUGGCCCACGUGGAGAGAGGGACCCUGGGUGGCAGGGUGGCGUUGGGGGAGAUUUGCCAUCAGAGUGACCUUAGUGACUGUGCCACCUCGACCCUGACCUGGGCAAUGCCUGUGAGGGCACUGGGGCCCAAGGUCCCAGAGGAGCAGGGGAACUAAGAUGUGGCUCUCACAGAACCUCAAAUGUAUCUCCAGACAUCCACAUAUCUGCACCUGACACACAUUUCUGGAACAGCUACUUGGCCAAGCACCACCAGUUUGUCUCUAUGCCCCUCUUGCUGGGGAGCCCAGUCUGGGGCAAAGGAAGGCACAGGGGCAUCCGCUCCAGGCUUUCCAGAAUAGGCAGAACACAGAAGGGGUGCCCGCCGGACACGCGGAGGGAGGAGAUGAGAAGAGUCCCCAGCGCCAGAAGGGGUGGAGACGGCCUUGCUGGGGCAGGGCCACAGGUCACCUGCUGCUGGGCUCUGGCUGCAGUGGGAAACAACCAAAGUUUUAAAAAGAGGGUGAACCUCUUAGGAAAGGAAAUGACAUUUAUAAAGAGGUAGGGACGUGGGGGCAGGGAUGAUGGCCUUGGUGGCCACAGCUCUUAAACCAGUGGGGAGGAGGCAGCCACGCCAGCAUGGUGAGAUCCAAGCCGCAGUGACGGGGCUGCACUCGCUCCAGGUAGAUUGCUCAAAUGGAAGCUUCUGGAUGGAUAACUAAGGCAGCACAACCCCCAGUCAUUGUCUGAGGGCCACCCUGGGGGAUGGAGCGAGUGCAGGCCAAGUGGAUGCAGGGCCCACGGCCAGUUUCCAGGGUGAGCUGCAGGGCAAGCCGUGGGAAGCCCCAGAGGCAGACGCUGAGGGAUGGGCACCCCAAGAGAGUCCAGGGAUCCGAGGCCACCUGGGUGGAGCCCGGACAGCGUCUACUCCAGGGAGCAAAGCUGAGGCAGGAGCCGAGGGCUUUCCAGUGGAUGUGGAGACUUCGGCUUACUCCCGCACUGACUUUAUCCCAUUUCUGAGCCUGUCGGCACGUGUAGAGCAUUUUGGGCUCAGUUUCUCUAGAGACUAACUGUGGCCUCCCAUGGGGUGGGGACAGGACAGUCUCCCGGCUGCAUGGAAUGGGAUGCCGACCGAGGGACGGGCUCUCUCUUAAAGACUUGCCACCACACCUCUCUUGUCCAUGCCAGGCUUCUGGGGUCCCCUCUGCUGCAGGUGCUUCGGGAGUCUCAGUGGUUCUUCAGGGCAAAGCUGGCCCUGACCGUGUGCUGCAUGCCCGGAGGUCUGACAUCGGUGCUGCUGAGUGGCCUGCCGUGGUUCUCUUGGUUUCCCAUCUUGCAAAGAGUCGGUGAACUCUCACCUGCUCUUGUCUCCUCGUCUCUGUGCCCUGUCCUCCUGCGGGGCUUGGGAAACCAUAGGUGAUAAACACAUGAGCCAAUCUGCCAUCUCCACUGGAGCCAAUGCUCUUUCUGUGUUCCCAUUGGCCUGCCUAGGACUGAGGUCAGCUCCAGGGUCAGAGGCAGGACUGGAGUUGGGUUCUAACUGAGGCAGAGACAGGGCUUGGGAGAAGAAAUCAAGGUGGAGGGCAGAGGCUCCAGGUCUUUGCCAGGCUCACCUCAGAAGUGGGUGUGUCAGGCUGUCCAGAGUGGAGUGCACAGAAGCUGGGGCUUUGACAAGGGCAGGGUGACCAGUCCAGGCUGGCCUCAAAGGCAAGAGCUUGACUGCAGGGCCAGCAGGCGUGUGAUGUGGGUGGGCCCUAAGGAGGCUGAGGGAGAGGAUAAACUGUGAAGAGCCAGCAGCCCAGAAGCUAAAUGCAGGGAGGCAGAGAAGACAGGAGAGAUGGAGGCUUGCAGGACCUGGUGGUUGGGGAGGGCCAGUGACCAGGUGUUUAGAAGCAGCACCUCCUGUGAUUGGGGCUGAGGGUGAACUCUGCUUUCAAGCAGAGGUGGUUUGUCGUGGGUCUUCCAUGAUGACACCAGGUCAAGGUAGGCUGUUAGCACUGAGGCCUGUGGGAAGGCGAGGCCCGUGGGCAGAGUCCCAGAAUGGGAGGAAAAUGAAGACAGCCACUGCAGGGACUUGGGUGUCAUUCUGAAGGAAGCCACUUAAUGGUAAAUGGAGCAACAACAUGGUAGCCUUUCCUCUGGGGGAGCCCAGAGACAAGGGGGGUCUGGGGAGGCAGGCAGGCAGGCAGGCAGGUCAGGCCAGGGAGGGGCUGUGCCCAGCAGGGAAUGGAUGGCACACUCCCUCCCAGAAAGGCUGCUGCAGGGCUCAGCACUCUGAACCUUAAAAGGUUUACCCAACAGAGCCUCCAGAUGCUCAGAGUCUUGCAGGCUCAGAACAAGAAUUGUCAACUUGCCAAGAUGAAUCUGUCUCUCGGGGGAGGACCCACACAGAACAAACGUUUGAAGCAGAAGUUUGCUUGGUAAACAUGGAAUCGGAACAUGGGAAUUGGGCCACUGGGAUAUUCAAUUGCGUCAGACCAUUGUAGCUGAUACUCCUGGACAGAGGGGCUUUGCCAACUGGACAGAUAUAUGAAGUGUUGCUGACCGAGCUCCUUGCUCUGUGUGGGAGGGAUCUUGCCAGCUCCAGCCUUGGUGGGUCUCCUUUUUCUGUUUCCAAGCUUAAAUAAGCACUUGGCUGUUCUGAUUAGCACUUUUAAAAGCUGUGUUAAUAAGUUCAAUUAAAAUAGAAGAAUCUCUCAUUCUGUCAUAUCGGGUUUUUUUAAUUGCAAACCAAUAAAACUUAAAUGAACUUGAGCAAAA
This 5262-nucleotide long non-coding RNA is filed under the name Homo sapiens (human). RNAcentral's name for it is "HSALNT0027167". Lineage: Eukaryota; Metazoa; Chordata; Mammalia; Primates; Hominidae. The record is from RNAcentral.